RNAcentral lists this ribosomal RNA (253 nucleotides) under uncultured bacterium. RNAcentral describes it as "partial 16S ribosomal RNA". It matches the Rfam family "Bacterial small subunit ribosomal RNA", at positions 524 to 776 of the family's 1533-position model. The record is from RNAcentral.
UACAGAGGGGGCAAGCGUUAUUCGGAAUUAUUGGGCGUAAAGGGCGCGUAGGCGGCUUUGCAAGUGACGGGUGAAAUCCCUCGGCUUAACCGAGGAACUGCCUGUCAAACUGCAUGGCUUGAGACCGGGAGAGGUGAGUGGAAUUCCCAGUGUAGCGGUGAAAUGCGUAGAUAUCCGGAGGAACACCAGUGGCGAAAGCGGCCACCUGGACUGUACCUGACGCUCAAACGCGAAAGCUAGGGGAGCGAACGGG